This 749-nucleotide long non-coding RNA is filed under the name Monodelphis domestica (gray short-tailed opossum). RNAcentral describes it as "lncRNA (ENSMODG00000035958.2)". The record is from RNAcentral. Lineage: Eukaryota; Metazoa; Chordata; Mammalia; Didelphimorphia; Didelphidae.
CCUAUCUGUGGCACCAAUAUGAGGGACAUUGAGAAAAUGGAAUAUUUAAAGGGCCUGAUGUUUUGCUCAUACUGUCCUGAAGCAAGAAAUAUCUUCUGGCACCAUGACUUCCUGUACCAAAGAAGAAGCAAGUUCUUGAUACCAUACAAAGAAUGGAGCUCCUGAGUUAGAUAGUCUCCAUUUGGUUCCUGUUUAUGUGUAAGAAAUGAGCAGAGGGAAAAAGGAAUCAAUAGUUUGUUCCCUCUAUGGAUUUUCUGUGCACUUUCCAUAACUGGCUGGAUACUGCUGUACCCUGGUGUGACAUUCCUUUCCUUUCCACUGGGACUUUUAAAAACUAAAGGCAUCUAUCUGAAAAAGAAAAAAGUUAGGUUUUAUUCCUCUGAGAUCAUCAUCUCGCAAAAGAUUUAAAAAAAAAUAACAGAAUUAUAGAAUGUUAGAGCCAGAAGGGCUCUUAAAAUGUAAAACAUAAAAUGUGUGAAUGUAAAAUGUAGAACACAGAGUACCUUAACUAACUGGGAAAUUGAACAUUUAUGUUACAGGAGGAAGAGGACACAGGACAUGGAAUAUCAGAUCUGAAAGAAUCUUUAAAUUGUAUAAUCUACUAUAUACUUUUAGAGUUAUGAAGGAACUUUUGUAAUGGGCAUUUACUUAUUCAAAUUUGCCUCCAAAAAUCAAUAUGUAUUUUAUUGUCAUAGAGGUAUAUUGAGUUUUUUCAAAAUAAAAAUUAAUGUAAUUCAAUGAGAAAUUCA